Long non-coding RNA from Lutra lutra (Eurasian river otter), 1669 nucleotides. RefSeq lists it as uncharacterized. The record is from RefSeq and is a predicted model, not a curated record. The transcript has 3 exons. Lineage: Eukaryota; Metazoa; Chordata; Mammalia; Carnivora; Mustelidae.
CCUCGCGUUUCCGAUUGGCAGAGUGGUUUGCAAGUGAAUUGACUAGCCUUUUGGUAAAAAUUAAACACCGAUUCCUCCUUAGAGGGGUUACUAAUCCCUGACGAGCCUUAAAAGAUAGUUUUUCCGGGAACGAGUCUCUUUUUAAAACAAGUCCGCGCCUUGAAUGCAUUGGGUGAAACCUAGCCUUGAGUCUUGUCCCACAAUGCUCUGCGGUGUUAACGGCCUUUGGCGGGAAAGCCUGCUGAGGGCGGAGCUAAGGGGGGGAGGGACCUGGUGGUUGCUCCGGAAACGCGGACAUCCUCAGAGAGUGGGGCUGGUUUGGGAACUCCGAGGCUUGGGAUUCAAUCCCGAGCCGAGACGUGACUUUGUCUUCCUGCCCUUUCUCCUCCGCACAGGCGGCGGUUUGCUUAGACAAAUGUCUAAUUUAGAGCAACCCAGCUUAGAUUACUUAGUAAAUACUCUGCGCUAAGUACCGUUCUGCUGUGGGUUCAAAACGUAACUUUGUGUAGCUCACUUGAGCACACCUUGUUCUAGUGGCAGUGGUUCGAACCCUGAGAAGUUAACCAGGACUCAGACCGCAGCCUCUCUUUAAUCGCCUACGGGUUAGGCCUAGCGCAGAGGAGAGGUCCGGUGAAGGUUUGAAGAGUGAAUUGUGCCUGUUGCCUGUCCAUCCCUUUCAAACAUCAAGAAAAAGCGUGUCUGUGUGUUUGCAGAAUCCUGAAGUUCGUUCCUCUUUCUGAACUCACCCCCGGACCUCUCAGGGCUUAUCCGUGUGUAGAUGCCCAUGUGUUUUUAAGAUAACUAGUUGGAAGAACAUCCCAUGUUCCUCCUUGCUGAUCUGUUUCAUGUGCUGUGCCAUGACUUAUUCUUAUAAGAGUACAUUUGGAGGAAGGUGCUGAAGGAUAUGUUCCCCUAAAAGAAAGAAGUAAACCAAGAAAAAAGAAGACAUUGGAUGCAGAGAACAAGAAGUUUAUGUAGAGAGAGAGAGACAAAGGAAUUUCCAGCAUGUUCCAGCAUGAUGUCAGAGAGCAAACCCAGGAGGACAAUUCUGCAGCUCUGUUUGAGGACAGCUAGUCUAGAUUGGAGCAGUACACUGAGAAACUGAAGGUGUGGUGUCUCUAGCAGGGGAAAAAAAUAAUGGAUAGAUCAUCUGACAAAUGACCAUGUAGAACUUGUACUGAAACAUUUUAGUAUUGAGUAUUGCAAAAUUUAACUAAGUUCAAAGAAAUUUAAGUGCACAAAAAAUGAGGUCGGUGUAUCCCUACAAUGGGAUAUUACUCAGCAAUUAAAUGAGCUAUGAGAAGAUGUGGAUGAGUCUGAAAUGCCUACUGAUAGGGGAAAGAAGCUAGUCUGAAAAAACCACAUCUGUAUGAUUCCAAUUAUAUGACAUUUUGGGAAAGACAAAACUAUGGAAAUGAUAAACAGAUCAGUGGUUGUCAGUGGUUUAGGAGGAUGGGAGUGAAACACAUGGGUUUCUUAGGGUGAUGAAACUAUUCUGUGUGAUACUCUAAUGGGCAAUAUAAGACAUUAAAACCUGUAGAACUUUUUCAAAAACCCAUAGAACUUUACAGCACGAAGAGUAUACUUUAAUUCAUGCAAAUUUUACUUUUUUAUUUUUAAAUAUUUUUAUUUAUUUAUUUGAUAGAAAUCACAAGCAGGCAGAAAGGCA